Molecule: ribosomal RNA, 263 nt
Filed under: uncultured bacterium
Lineage: Bacteria
Description: partial 16S ribosomal RNA
Rfam family: Bacterial small subunit ribosomal RNA
Source: RNAcentral
CGGCGACCGGCGGACGGUGCGUAACGCGUAUGUAACCUACCUUUGACAGGGGGAUAACAUCGAGAAAUUGGUACUAAUACCCCAUAACAUCACCGGAGGCAUCUUCGGUGGUUGAAAACUCAGGUGGUCAGAGAUGGACAUGCGUUGUAUUAGCUAGUUGGUGAGGUAACGGCUCACCAAGGCGACGAUACAUAGGGGGACUGAGAGGUCAACCCCCCACAUUGGUACUGAGACACGGACCAAACUCCUACGGAAGGCAGCAG